AAAGACCACUGGGAACACUUUAAAGAUGGAUCAACAUAUGAUUGAUCUGAGGCUAAAGGUUUUGAUACAUCUAAUAUUUGUACAUACAGUCAGAGAGCACAGUCUGGUAUUUACAAAAAAUCCUGGGUGUUCAUUAACAACCAAGAUAUUUCCCUUCUCUGGACAAAUAAUUCUUUGACAGUCUCCAUUUACCAAAUGCCUCAAUGUUUGUUAAUAUGCAACUCUAAACUCAUCUGUUAUCAGGAUUUAUAAUAAACUACUUGUGGUCUUACAUUAUCAAAACCAAACAGAUGUCAAAUUGAAGGUGGAGUUUAUGAAAAAAAAAAAUGGCAUCAACACUUGAGAAAUACCAGGGUUGCUAUCCGGUGCACCGUAUCCAAUGUCAGGGUUUAUUCUCGGACUGACCCCGUUCUUGAAAUGUGUGUAGGUUUGCUGUGUCUGUGACUUGGCAGGCCGUCUGUGCUGACAAACGUACAGCAGCCUGAAUGCAGAGAGGCUCAUGGAGACGUGAGGAACGUGCUCUGGCAGGCCAGCAGGACGACCCGGCCUCCUUUCUAUUGUGUGCUGCAAACGUACACAACCCAAAUGUGGCCCUAAAUCUCUUGGUCAACAAAUUGAUCAGAGUGUGUAACCUCUGACCUAUACGCUUGUUACCCCACCCCCAGCAGACAGGUUGGUAACAGCAUAUGGGACAGUUUGGGGGAGGGUCUGACCUCUCACACAGCCAAGCUUUUUCUAUCUGACUUCAUGAUCAUUUUUCUCUGUCAUGUAUCGUCUGGGUUGUGUGUGUUUAUGUUCAUUUUUACAGUAAAUUAGAUUGUUUAUUCUAUGUUUUGUCACUUGCAUGUUGCAUAACAAUGACCUGUAUUGAUUCAUCCCAGAGGCUCUUUUGCAACCAAGACAAACACGUUUCUAGACCAACUUUUACCACACAAUCCUAAAAGGUAAACAAAACCAUGAACACAAUAUGACUGUUUUCAGUUUUGUAUGCCAAAAAUACAAUGCCCAUGAACAAAAUCUCCACUACCAAAAACCUAAUUUUAAUUGAAAAUGUAAAUACGUUUAUAUAUUUUGUGUCUUCUAUGAAUUGGACCACUGCAAGUGGAAAAUCCUUCUAAGGGUCUGUGGUGAAGCUGCUGGGCAGCUGUCAGGCCGCAUGGGUGCAACGUAAAAAGCGCUCAACUGUAAUUGUGAUUUGGCUCGAAGGCAGAAGUCCAGACAGAGAGAUUUGUCUGUGAGGGGGAUUUUCUGAAGCUGCUGAUGAGAUGUCGAAGCCACAAAGAGACAUAAACGGAAAGGGUUGUGUGCAAAACUAUAUGCACAAAUACACUGUUACAUCCCAAAAAAAAAACAAAAAAGAAGACAGCUAUUUAAAACCCCUAAAUGCAACACUUCUGAAACAAACCCCCCAUCUUUUUUAAUCUAUGACUUCCUUUCACACUUUCAUUUUUUUACAUGACGUUACUUGUUUCAGAAAAUAAGACCACAACUAAAAGUGUUGUGACAAGUAGGGCUUUUGUUCUAGUCUUUUGCCCAUUCUCACAGGUGAUGUUUUUUUUUUGUUUCAGAUUUUAGAGGGAAAAAAACACUUGUGACACAUAAACAACACUGAAACAACCAUUUGCCUUCACAGCUGUUGUAAAGACAUUCUGAAUGAAAAAGUGUAGGUGUGGGCUGCCUCUCUGUGGUUUCAACAGGCACUGCAUCUCAAAUUGGGUUCUAUGUCUAAAUUGAGUUCAUUUCAUUGGAGCUGGAAGUAAGUCAUUUUGUACGAGUGAUGUCAAAUUCACUCAGUCCUGUUAUCAUAUAUUCAAUGUUUGGUACACUGGUUGUAAGUUUUUUGUUUUAUGUUUUUAACCAUAAAUCUGUUAAACCAAAGCUAAGACACAAAAAUCUGCAUCAUCUUCUUCCAUCUUCGUAAUUAAUUACAGGAUUCCUUAACAAAUCUGUUAUUGUGGGUGAUGUACACAUGUUCUACUUUCACACAUUUUGUCUUUAAUAUUAAGGUGUCUGGGAAUUAAAAGUAGUAUAAAACUGAUCUACGGCUGUUUUUAUGAAACGUGAAGCCCCCUUUUGAUCCAAAUUUCUUCAAUUUAAAGCAAACUUUUGAACUUUGAAAAUGGUGUACGCCAGAAUGAAUAGAUAAUAAGAUAAUUUUCACGAAACCACAUUUUUACAAUCUGUUUAUGAUGCCAAGAUUCUAAAAAUUUUUUAAAACUACCUGAAAAUUGUCACACCUAGGCAUCAACUGUAGAUCAUUAACACGCUGGUCAAACGGGUCGCAGAAUUCCCCCUUGCUAUAACCACUGCGAAAGCCAACCGUGACCUCUGACCUCUUCCUACAAAAAUCUCAGGUCUUUCCUGUUAAAGAACUCUCAAAUUCCUCCUCUGUAGGUGAGCGUUAGUGUCAGAAUUCUUCUCAUGAUAAAGGAAUUUCAGGGGUCAUUGUUACUCUCAGAGUGCAAGUGUGUAAAACUCUGCAUACUACAAGGAGUGCUGGGAAGGAUCAAUAAAGCCCCCCCUAUCCAUGUCGAUGGGGUCAUUAGGGGUUGGAGUGUUCAAUACAUUGACUCCUCAAAGAUGCAGAGGAAAGCAGAUGGACAAAACAAGAAGUCAGCUUGUGACAGGUAAAAUGGAACUGCUCCUCUUCCUCAUUCUUGUCAGUCUCCCAAAAUCUACCCAGUUUUUGGCUCUUGAAAGAAGAUUUGCUGAAACUGUCCGUCUCCAUGGUCUAACAGGGCAGAUGUUCAGAGAUACAGCCAGAUUGAACCCAGCUGAGCAGACUGGCAUCAAAAAUGAGCUUUCCCAACAUUUUUCCAUGUCAAUAGAGAAGAGAGAAGAUUUGGAUCGCACAGAGAUUGAGCAGGAACUGAGAAGUGACGGGAAUGCCACAGGGGAGCCCGCCAAGAAUAAGGUAAUUGCGGAAGAAAGAAGGGAAGAGCAACAGCUGCAAAAGAACAGAAGAACUAAGGAAGCGCCAGCCCAUGAGACAAUCCCUGAAGUCAUUAGCCGCGUUUACAUGGGCAAAAGUAAUCGGAAUGAACGCCUGAUCGGAAAGAAAAUGCGUCAUGUAAACGCGCCGUUCGGAAUA
This is a long non-coding RNA of Oryzias latipes (Japanese medaka), 3091 nucleotides long. RefSeq lists it as uncharacterized. The record is from RefSeq and is a predicted model, not a curated record. NCBI's taxonomy places the organism in Eukaryota, Metazoa, Chordata, Actinopteri, Beloniformes, Adrianichthyidae.